This 253-nucleotide ribosomal RNA is filed under the name uncultured bacterium. Its description in RNAcentral is "partial 16S ribosomal RNA". It matches the Rfam family "Bacterial small subunit ribosomal RNA", at positions 524 to 776 of the family's 1533-position model. The record is from RNAcentral.
UACGUAGGGGGCAAGCGUUGUCCGGAUUUAUUGGGCGUAAAGAGCGUGUAGGCGGCUAGGUAGGUCCGUUGUGAAAACUCGAGGCUCAACCUCGAGCUGUCGAUGGAAACCAUCUGGCUAGAGUCCGGAAGAGGAGAGUGGAAUUCCUGGUGUAGCGGUGAAAUGCGCAGAUAUCAGGAGGAACACCGGUGGCGAAGGCGGGUCUCUGGGCAACAACUGACGCUGAGGAGCGAAAGCGUGGGGAGCGAACAGG